This 253-nucleotide ribosomal RNA is filed under the name uncultured bacterium. RNAcentral describes it as "partial 16S ribosomal RNA". It matches the Rfam family "Bacterial small subunit ribosomal RNA", at positions 524 to 776 of the family's 1533-position model. The record is from RNAcentral.
UACGUAGGGGGCAAGCGUUGUCCGGAUUUAUUGGGCGUAAAGCGUGUGUAGGUGGCCAAGUAGGUCCGCUGUGAAAACUUGAGGCUCAACCUCAAGCUGUCGGUGGAAACCCCUUGGCUAGAGUCCGGAAGAGGAGAGUGGAAUUCCUGGUGUAGCGGUGAAAUGCGCAGAUAUCAGGAAGAACACCAAUGGCGAAGGCAGCUCUCUGGGACGGUACUGACACUGAGACGCGAAAGCGUGGGGAGCGAACAGG